Molecule: ribosomal RNA, 253 nt
Filed under: uncultured bacterium
Lineage: Bacteria
Description: partial 16S ribosomal RNA
Rfam family: Bacterial small subunit ribosomal RNA
Source: RNAcentral
UACAGAGGCCCCGAGCGUUAAUCGGAAUCACUGGGCUUAAAGGGUGCGUAGGCGGGCCAGUAAGCGCUUUGUGAAAUCCCACGGCUCAACCGUGGAACCGCAGGGCGAACUGCUGGUCUUGAGGAAGCUAGAGGCGGGUAGAACGAUAGGUGGAGCGGUGGAAUGCGUAGAGAUCUAUCGGAAUGCCGAAAGUGAAGACAGCCCGCUGGGGCUUUCCUGACGCUAAAGCACGAAAGCGUGGGGAGCAAACCGG